This 738-nucleotide ribosomal RNA is filed under the name Staphylococcus aureus. Its description in RNAcentral is "bacterial SSU rRNA". It matches the Rfam family "Bacterial small subunit ribosomal RNA", at positions 210 to 939 of the family's 1533-position model. Lineage: Bacteria; Bacillati; Bacillota; Bacilli; Caryophanales; Staphylococcaceae. The record is from RNAcentral.
UGCUGUCACUUAUAGAUGGAUCCGCGCUGCAUUAGCUAGUUGGUAAGGUAACGGCUUACCAAGGCAACGAUGCAUAGCCGACCUGAGAGGGUGAUCGGCCACACUGGAACUGAGACACGGUCCAGACUCCUACGGGAGGCAGCAGUAGGGAAUCUUCCGCAAUGGGCGAAAGCCUGACGGAGCAACGCCGCGUGAGUGAUGAAGGUCUUCGGAUCGUAAAACUCUGUUAUUAGGGAAGAACAUAUGUGUAAGUAACUGUGCACAUCUUGACGGUACCUAAUCAGAAAGCCACGGCUAACUACGUGCCAGCAGCCGCGGUAAUACGUAGGUGGCAAGCGUUAUCCGGAAUUAUUGGGCGUAAAGCGCGCGUAGGCGGUUUUUUAAGUCUGAUGUGAAAGCCCACGGCUCAACCGUGGAGGGUCAUUGGAAACUGGAAAACUUGAGUGCAGAAGAGGAAAGUGGAAUUCCAUGUGUAGCGGUGAAAUGCGCAGAGAUAUGGAGGAACACCAGUGGCGAAGGCGACUUUCUGGUCUGUAACUGACGCUGAUGUGCGAAAGCGUGGGGAUCAAACAGGAUUAGAUACCCUGGUAGUCCACGCCGUAAACGAUGAGUGCUAAGUGUUAGGGGGUUUCCGCCCCUUAGUGCUGCAGCUAACGCAUUAAGCACUCCGCCUGGGGAGUACGACCGCAAGGUUGAAACUCAAAGGAAUUGACGGGGACCCGCACAAGCGGUGGAGCA